GAUUAUUUUUAAUUACCUUGAAAGUAAUACCCAUCGAAUAGAUAAUAAUCU
RNAcentral lists this transfer RNA (51 nucleotides) under Chordodes sp. VVA-2019. Its description in RNAcentral is "tRNA-Ser". Lineage: Eukaryota; Metazoa; Nematomorpha; Gordioida; Chordodea; Chordodidae. The record is from RNAcentral.